Molecule: ribosomal RNA, 493 nt
Filed under: Enterobacter sp. LCR1
Lineage: Bacteria; Pseudomonadati; Pseudomonadota; Gammaproteobacteria; Enterobacterales; Enterobacteriaceae
Description: bacterial SSU rRNA
Rfam family: Bacterial small subunit ribosomal RNA
Source: RNAcentral
UUCGCGAGGCGCUACCGCAGUCGACGGUAACGGAAGCAGCUUGCUGCUUCGCUGACGAGUGGCGGACGGGUGAGUAAUGUCUGGGAAACUGCCUGAUGGAGGGGGAUAACUACUGGAAACGGUAGCUAAUACCGCAUAACGUCGCAAGACCAAAGAGGGGGACCUUCGGGCCUCUUGCCAUCGGAUGUGCCCAGAUGGGAUUAGCUAGUAGGUGGGGUAACGGCUCACCUAGGCGACGAUCCCUAGCUGGUCUGAGAGGAUGACCAGCCACACUGGAACUGAGACACGGUCCAGACUCCUACGGGAGGCAGCAGUGGGGAAUAUUGCACAAUGGGCGCAAGCCUGAUGCAGCCAUGCCGCGUGUAUGAAGAAGGCCUUCGGGUUGUAAAGUACUUUCAGCGGGGAGGAAGGCGAUGAGGUUAAUAACCUUGUCUAUUGACGUUACCCGCAGAACAACCACCGGCUAACUCCGUGACAAAAAAAAAAANAAUAA